RNAcentral lists this ribosomal RNA (129 nucleotides) under Steinernema surkhetense. RNAcentral describes it as "partial 18S ribosomal RNA". It matches the Rfam family "Eukaryotic small subunit ribosomal RNA", at positions 1706 to 1831 of the family's 1831-position model. Lineage: Eukaryota; Metazoa; Nematoda; Chromadorea; Rhabditida; Steinernematidae. The record is from RNAcentral.
AAGCGGAGAUUGCGAUGUUGAACGUUUUCGGACGGUCUUUGUUGCGAGAACCGCGUUAAUCGAAUCGGCUUGAACCGGGCAAAAGUCGUAACAAGGUUUCCGUAGGUGAACCUGCGGAAGGAUCAUUAU